GCGGCCAAUGUAGUCAGUCUGGGGACCCACCUCCCCCUUUCAGCUGAGCGCACACAACACAGCAUCCACGUGAGUCAGCUUCUUAAAGGCGAAGGCUUGGCCUGUCUAAUUGCGGCAGCUGCGAGACAUCGCACGUCAUUAGCGUCACCAGGUAGCGGCUGGAGCCGAGCUUCCUGAUACCUAGUGAGCCGCGGUGAUGACAAAUGAAAACAAUAAGCUGUUUCCUAGACAAACAGCUGCCUAGUUUCGCUCUGUCGCCCAGGCUGGAGUGCAGUGGCACAAUCUCGGUUCACUGCAACCUCUGCCUCCCGGGUUCAAGCAGUUCUCUUGCCUCAGCCUCCCAAGUAACUGGUACUACAGAGAAUUGAUACAAAAAAUGAUCAUGUGAAGAAUUUGCAUCUUCUGCAGAACUACCGGUAUCAGUCAGCAGUAGGAGAUUGUAUAAAUUCAGCCUGAGAUUCCAGAAUAUUCUGUGUAUUGACCACCACAGCAAGAAGAAAAAGUCCAUGUAGGACUGAAAUCUUUAGCUCCCUGGGUGAGCUACCAUCCCGAUACCAGAGCCGGCGCUGCAGGUGUGCUUAGCCAGCCCAGCCAGGGCCGAAGAUACUGACAAGACCGGAGGAGGCCCCUCUCGAGACUGAGUGACUCACACCACCUGCAGAGAGCACAGUUGCCACGAGCCUUGCUCAUCCUCCUCGAGCAGCUAAAUUUAUAUUCUGAGAGCAGAACACUGGCGCUGGAGCUGUCAGGAGGGAACAGGGAGGAGAUGGGAAGGAAGAGUGCCAUCAUCUUGGAGCGGGCUCGGGGGUGGAAGUGGAUUCACAUUCUAAGGGCUUUGUAAGUGAGCCCACAAGAUUUUUCAUGGAGAAACUGGUGUCUGAGAAAUUACAGUUUUCUCUUAAAUGUUCCCCUCUCCUCCACUUAAACCCCAGUAACAGCUGUCAAGGUCAAGGGAAAAUCUUCCCUUUCAUUCUCUGAAGUUUUGCUGAAAAAUCAACUCACAAAAGGCAGAUAAUAAGAGAAAAGGCAUAAUACACAUUUAUUAGCAUGCACAAAGCUGAAUCAGAGUGACUGCCCCAUAUCCUGGUGGGGCCCAGAUACUUACAUAGCCUUAUUUCAGAUGGAAGCGGGGAGAUGGGGAAUAUAGGUACUUCUGUUGAGAGGCAAGAAAUGAUUACUAGGGAGAAUGAAUGGAUCGGGAACAUAGAUUAACUUGUAAAUGGUUAUCUCUGGAAAUUGAAUGAGCCUGAGAGACAGACGUUAUCCUGUGAAAGGGUCUCUUCAGGUGUGGUUACAUUGGAUAGAUAAUAAGAUAACAGGAAGAAGAAGGAAAAACAAUUACUUUCCUUGGUGGGUUCACCUGGUCUUUAUGCAGAUAGGAUAAAAGUCUCUUCUAGCAUCUGUUGAUCUCUAAGGGCCUUCAAAAUACUCAUUAUAGGCCAGACAUGGUGGCUUAUACCUGUAAUCCCAGC
Molecule: long non-coding RNA, 1472 nt
Filed under: Homo sapiens (human)
Lineage: Eukaryota; Metazoa; Chordata; Mammalia; Primates; Hominidae
Description: HSALNT0301439
Source: RNAcentral